GGAGAAGGCUGGGCGAUCGCCGGUCACGGCAACGUGGCGGGAGGAAAGUCCGGGCUCCACAGGGCAGGGUGCUGGGUAACUCCCAGGGGGGGCAACCCCACGGAAAGUGCCACAGAGAAGAGACCGCCGCCCGCGAGGGCGGUAAGGGUGAAACGGUGAGGUAAGAGCUCACCAGCGGCACGGGUGACCGCGCCGGCUUGGCAAACCCCACCUGGAGCAAGGCCGAAUAGGAGAGCGUUCGGGUGGCCCGCCCGUGGCUCUCGGGUCAGGCCGCUGGAGACGCCGGGCAACCGGCGCCCUAGAGAAAUGAUCGUCGCCCGGGCGCAAGCCCAGGACACAGAACCCGGCUUACAGGCCUUCUCCGGCG
Molecule: RNase P RNA, 367 nt
Filed under: Candidatus Rokuibacteriota bacterium
Lineage: Bacteria; Candidatus Rokuibacteriota
Description: Candidatus Rokubacteria bacterium RNase P RNA component class A
Rfam family: Bacterial RNase P class A
About the family: Ribonuclease P (RNase P) is a ubiquitous endoribonuclease, found in archaea, bacteria and eukarya as well as chloroplasts and mitochondria. Its best characterised activity is the generation of mature 5'-ends of tRNAs by cleaving the 5'-leader elements of precursor-tRNAs. Cellular RNase Ps are ribonucleoproteins.
Source: RNAcentral